UGCUAACGAAUGCUCUGACUUUAUUGCACUACUGUACUUUACAGCUAGCAGUGCAAUAGUAUUGUCAAAGCAUGUGAAAGCAGA
RNAcentral lists this microRNA precursor (84 nucleotides) under Nipponia nippon (crested ibis). RNAcentral describes it as "mir-301 microRNA precursor family". It matches the Rfam family "mir-301 microRNA precursor family". Lineage: Eukaryota; Metazoa; Chordata; Aves; Pelecaniformes; Threskiornithidae. The record is from Rfam by way of RNAcentral.